This 427-nucleotide ribosomal RNA is filed under the name Acidobacteriota bacterium. RNAcentral describes it as "Acidobacteria bacterium partial 16S ribosomal RNA". It matches the Rfam family "Bacterial small subunit ribosomal RNA", at positions 355 to 776 of the family's 1533-position model. Lineage: Bacteria; Pseudomonadati; Acidobacteriota. The record is from RNAcentral.
UGGGGAAUUUUGGACAAUGGGAAACCCUGAUCCAGCCAUCCCGCGUGUGCGAUGAAGGCCUUCGGGUUGUAAAGCACUUUUGGCAGGAAAGAAACGUCAUGGGUUAAUACCCCGUGAAACUGACGGUACCUGCAGAAUAAGCACCGGCUAACUACGUGCCAGCAGCCGCGGUAAUACGUAGGGUGCAAGCGUUAAUCGGAAUUACUGGGCGUAAAGCGUGCGCAGGCGGUUCGGAAAGAAAGAUGUGAAAUCCCAGAGCUCAACUUUGGAACUGCAUUUUUAACUACCGGGCUAGAGUGUGUCAGAGGGAGGUGGAAUUCCGCGUGUAGCAGUGAAAUGCGUAGAUAUGCGGAGGAACACCGAUGGCGAAGGCAGCCUCCUGGGAUAACACUGACGCUCAUGCACGAAAGCGUGGGGAGCAAACAGG